GAGGCUUCUGGGGCACUCGCCUGGACAGACGCUGCCACCAGCAACCUGCCCCCGCCUGCCUCCGUCUCCCCUUGUCCUUCUGUCCUCUUGGGCUCCCUGAGCCCUGCUCUGUGCCAGGUGCUUCUACCCCACGUUCCUUCCACAGGUGACCAGGGUCUCUUUCUUUGUUUUUAAUCACAAGAGCGGUGUUCUGCACACUUCCUCCUGUAUAUGAUUUUGAGACAUUUGCCUCCCAGUUACUUCCCUCUGCCUGCAUCUGCCCCCAGUGGACAAUGUCAUCUGAAUCGAGCCAGCCCCAAGUUCCCCUCCAGCCUCCGUAGGGCCAUGGCUGUGUGUUACUGUUGCUGUGCUUUCAUUUUUAAACUGGGUUUGGGGUUUGAUUUUUAUUUUCUUUGGGGAACUUUAUUUUUCUUGGCAAAUAACUAAAGUUCUUGUCCAUGUAAUUUCUGUGGUCUCUAUUCAGCUUGAGUUUCAUGUUUUAAAAUAAACAAUUUU
This 495-nucleotide long non-coding RNA is filed under the name Rattus norvegicus (Norway rat). RNAcentral describes it as "long non-coding RNA NONRATT007314". The record is from RNAcentral. Lineage: Eukaryota; Metazoa; Chordata; Mammalia; Rodentia; Muridae.